CAAGCUAGAUUUAUUAGUUAAGUAUUUCAUUUACAUUGAAAUUGUUAUCGUGCAAUUCGAUAUAGUUUGA
Molecule: transfer RNA, 70 nt
Filed under: Tryonicus mackerrasae
Lineage: Eukaryota; Metazoa; Arthropoda; Insecta; Blattodea; Tryonicidae
Description: tRNA-Val
Source: RNAcentral